RNAcentral lists this ribosomal RNA (2789 nucleotides) under Salmonella enterica subsp. enterica serovar Enteritidis. RNAcentral's name for it is "partial 23S ribosomal RNA". It matches the Rfam family "Bacterial large subunit ribosomal RNA". Lineage: Bacteria; Pseudomonadati; Pseudomonadota; Gammaproteobacteria; Enterobacterales; Enterobacteriaceae. The record is from RNAcentral.
GGGUUGUGAGGUUAAGCGACUAAGCGUACACGGUGGAUGCCCUGGCAGUCAGAGGCGAUGAAGGGCGUACUAAUCUGCGAUAAGCGCCGGUAAGGUGAUAUGAACCGUUAUAACCGGCGAUACCCGAAUGGGGAAACCCAGUGUGACUCGUCACACUAUCAUUAACUGAAUCCAUAGGUUAAUGAGGCGAACCGGGGGAACUGAAACAUCUAAGUACCCCGAGGAAAAGAAAUCAACCGAGAUUCCCCCAGUAGCGGCGAGCGAACGGGGAGGAGCCCAGAGCCUGAAUCAGCAUGUGUGUUAGUGGAAGCGUCUGGAAAGGCGCGCGAUACAGGGUGACAGCCCCGUACACAAAAGCGCAUGUGCUGUGAGCUCGAUGAGUAGGGCGGGACACGUGGUAUCCUGUCUGAAUAUGGGGGGACCAUCCUCCAAGGCUAAAUACUCCUGACUGACCGAUAGUGAACCAGUACCGUGAGGGAAAGGCGAAAAGAACCCCGGCGAGGGGAGUGAAAAAGAACCUGAAACCGUGUACGUACAAGCAGUGGGAGCACAGGUUUACCUGUGUGACUGCGUACCUUUUGUAUAAUGGGUCAGCGACUUAUAUUCUGUAGCAAGGUUAACCGAAUAGGGGAGCCGGAGGGAAACCGAGUCUUAAUUGGGCGUUAAGUUGCAGGGUAUAGACCCGAAACCCGGUGAUCUAGCCAUGGGCAGGUUGAAGGUUGGGUAACACUAACUGGAGGACCGAACCGACUAAUGUUGAAAAAUUAGCGGAUGACCUGUGGCUGGGGGUGAAAGGCCAAUCAAACCGGGAGAUAGCUGGUUCUCCCCGAAAGCUAUUUAGGUAGCGCCUCGUGAAUUCAUCUCCGGGGGUAGAGCACUGUUUCGGCUAGGGGGCCAUCCCGGCUUACCAACCCGAUGCAAACUGCGAAUACCGGAGAAUGUUAUCACGGGAGACACACGGCGGGUGCUAACGUCCGUCGUGAAGAGGGAAACAACCCAGACCGCCAGCUAAGGUCCCAAAGUCAUGGUUAAGUGGGAAACGAUGUGGGAAGGCCCAGACAGCCAGGAUGUUGGCUUAGAAGCAGCCAUCAUUUAAAGAAAGCGUAAUAGCUCACUGGUCGAGUCGGCCUGCGCGGAAGAUGUAACGGGGCUAAACCAUGCACCGAAGCUGCGGCAGCGACACUGUGUGUUGUUGGGUAGGGGAGCGUUCUGUAAGCCUGCGAAGGUGGCCUGUGAGGGUUGCUGGAGGUAUCAGAAGUGCGAAUGCUGACAUAAGUAACGAUAAAGCGGGUGAAAAGCCCGCUCGCCGGAAGACCAAGGGUUCCUGUCCAACGUUAAUCGGGGCAGGGUGAGUCGACCCCUAAGGCGAGGCCGAAAGGCGUAGUCGAUGGGAAACGGGUUAAUAUUCCCGUACUUGGUGUUACUGCGAAGGGGGGACGGAGAAGGCUAUGUUGGCCGGGCGACGGUUGUCCCGGUUUAAGCGUGUAGGUGUGUGUUCCAGGUAAAUCCGGUUCACUUUAACACUGAGGCGUGACGACGAGGCACUACGGUGCUGAAGCAACAAAUGCCCUGCUUCCAGGAAAAGCCUCUAAGCAUCAGGUAACAUCAAAUCGUACCCCAAACCGACACAGGUGGUCAGGUAGAGAAUACCAAGGCGCUUGAGAGAACUCGGGUGAAGGAACUAGGCAAAAUGGUGCCGUAACUUCGGGAGAAGGCACGCUGACACGUAGGUGAAGUGAUUUACUCAUGGAGCUGAAGUCAGUCGAAGAUACCAGCUGGCUGCAACUGUUUAUUAAAAACACAGCACUGUGCAAACACGAAAGUGGACGUAUACGGUGUGACGCCUGCCCGGUGCCGGAAGGUUAAUUGAUGGGGUCAGCGCAAGCGAAGCUCCUGAUCGAAGCCCCGGUAAACGGCGGCCGUAACUAUAACGGUCCUAAGGUAGCGAAAUUCCUUGUCGGGUAAGUUCCGACCUGCACGAAUGGCGUAAUGAUGGCCAGGCUGUCUCCACCCGAGACUCAGUGAAAUUGAACUCGCUGUGAAGAUGCAGUGUACCCGCGGCAAGACGGAAAGACCCCGUGAACCUUUACUAUAGCUUGACACUGAACAUUGAGCCUUGAUGUGUAGGAUAGGUGGGAGGCUUUGAAGUGUGGACGCCAGUCUGCAUGGAGCCGACCUUGAAAUACCACCCUUUAAUGUUUGAUGUUCUAACGUGGACCCGUUACCCGGGUUGCGGACAGUGUCUGGUGGGUAGUUUGACUGGGGCGGUCUCCUCCUAAAGAGUAACGGAGGAGCACGAAGGUUGGCUAAUCCUGGUCGGACAUCAGGAGGUUAGUGCAAUGGCAUAAGCCAGCUUGACUGCGAGCGUGACGGCGCGAGCAGGUGCGAAAGCAGGUCAUAGUGAUCCGGUGGUUCUGAAUGGAAGGGCCAUCGCUCAACGGAUAAAAGGUACUCCGGGGAUAACAGGCUGAUACCGCCCAAGAGUUCAUAUCGACGGCGGUGUUUGGCACCUCGAUGUCGGCUCAUCACAUCCUGGGGCUGAAGUAGGUCCCAAGGGUAUGGCUGUUCGCCAUUUAAAGUGGUACGCGAGCUGGGUUUAGAACGUCGUGAGACAGUUCGGUCCCUAUCUGCCGUGGGCGCUGGAGAACUGAGGGGGGCUGCUCCUAGUACGAGAGGACCGGAGUGGACGCAUCACUGGUGUUCGGGUUGUCAUGCCAAUGGCACUGCCCGGUAGCUAAAUGCGGAAGAGAUAAGUGCUGAAAGCAUCUAAGCACGAAACUUGCCCCGAG